Molecule: ribosomal RNA, 517 nt
Filed under: uncultured bacterium
Lineage: Bacteria
Description: bacterial SSU rRNA
Rfam family: Bacterial small subunit ribosomal RNA
Source: RNAcentral
AUUGAACGCUGGCGGCAUGCCUAACACAUGCAAGUCGAACGGUAACGCGGGGGCAACCCUGGCGACGAGUGGCGGACGGGUGAGUAAUACGUAGGAAUCUGCCCAUUUGUGGGGGAUAACCCGGCGAAAGCCGGGCUAAUACCGCAUACGCUCUACGGAGGAAAGCGGGGGAUCGUAAGACCUCGCGCUAAUGGAUGAGCCUACGUCGGAUUAGCUAGUUGGUAGGGUAACGGCCUACCAAGGCGACGAUCCGUAGCUGGUCUGAGAGGACGAUCAGCCACACUGGGACUGAGACACGGCCCAGACUCCUACGGGAGGCAGCAGUGGGGAAUAUUGGACAAUGGGGGCAACCCUGAUCCAGCAAUGCCGCGUGUGUGAAGAAGGCCUGCGGGUUGUAAAGCACUUUCAGAGGGGAAGAAAAAUCGGAGCUAACACCUCCGGUCUUGACGUUACCCUUAGAAGAAGCACCGGCUAACUCCGUGCCAGCAGCCGCGGUAAUACGGAGGGUGCAAGCGUU